GGUCAAGCUAAUUAGGGCUAAUGGUGGAUACCUAGGCACACAG
Molecule: ribosomal RNA, 43 nt
Filed under: Kalymmatonema desertorum EM3-HA19
Lineage: Bacteria; Bacillati; Cyanobacteriota; Cyanophyceae; Nostocales; Scytonemataceae
Description: partial 23S ribosomal RNA
Source: RNAcentral